RNAcentral lists this transfer RNA (66 nucleotides) under Loxocera planivena. Its description in RNAcentral is "tRNA-Asp". Lineage: Eukaryota; Metazoa; Arthropoda; Insecta; Diptera; Psilidae. The record is from RNAcentral.
AAAAAAUUAGUUAAUUUAUAACCUUAGUAUGUCAAACUAAAAUAACUAAUAUAUUAGUAUUUUUUA